ACUUGAAUAGCUUAUAUAGAGCACGACACUGAAGAUGUCGGUGAGGUAUUUUAUACCUUUAAGUA
Molecule: transfer RNA, 65 nt
Filed under: Amitermes sp. QLD_010
Lineage: Eukaryota; Metazoa; Arthropoda; Insecta; Blattodea; Termitidae
Also listed under: 2 other names
Description: tRNA-Phe
Source: RNAcentral